UCCGAUAUGGUGUAGUGGUUAGCAUUGGUCGCUUUCAUUUCCAGCCGUCAAAAGCUCCAAAUCAAGCGCCGACUAGACCCGGGUUCAAUUCCCGGUAUCGGAA
This is a non-coding RNA of Pyronema omphalodes CBS 100304, 103 nucleotides long. Lineage: Eukaryota; Fungi; Ascomycota; Pezizomycetes; Pezizales; Pyronemataceae. The record is from Rfam.